CCGGACCUGCUGAAGGAUUGACAGAUUGAUAGCUCUUUCUUGAUUCAGUGGGUGGUGGUGCAUGGCCGUUCUUAGUUGGUGGAGUGAUUUGUCUGGUUAAUUCCGAUAACGAACGAGACUCUAUCCUGCUAAAUAGUCUGGUGGCAUCGGUAUGCCUUGUGUAACUACAGCUACUAAAACUUCUUAGAGGGAUUCGCAGUAUUUAAACUGCACGAAAGAGAGCAAUAACAGGUCUGUGAUGCCCA
This 245-nucleotide ribosomal RNA is filed under the name Ptychopera westbladi. RNAcentral's name for it is "partial small subunit ribosomal RNA". It matches the Rfam family "Eukaryotic small subunit ribosomal RNA", at positions 1229 to 1473 of the family's 1831-position model. Lineage: Eukaryota; Metazoa; Platyhelminthes; Rhabdocoela; Trigonostomidae. The record is from RNAcentral.